AUAAUGGGUCAGCGACUUAUAUUCUGUAGCAAGGUUAACCGAAUAGGGGAGCCGAAGGGAAACCGAGUCUUAACUGGGCGUUAAGUUGCAGGGUAUAGACCCGAAACCCGGUGAUCUAGCCAUGGGCAGGUUGAAGGUUGGGUAACACUAACUGGAGGACCGAACCGACUAAUGUUGAAAAAUUAGCGGAUGACUUGUGGCUGGGGGUGAAAGGCCAAUCAAACCGGGAGAUAGCUGGUUCUCCCCGAAAGCUAUUUAGGUAGCGCCUCGUGAAUUCAUCUCCGGGGGUAGAGCACUGUUUCGGCAAGGGGGUCAUCCCGACUUACCAACCCGAUGCAAACUGCG
RNAcentral lists this ribosomal RNA (345 nucleotides) under Escherichia coli. RNAcentral describes it as "partial 23S ribosomal RNA". It matches the Rfam family "Bacterial large subunit ribosomal RNA", at positions 612 to 958 of the family's 2925-position model. Lineage: Bacteria; Pseudomonadati; Pseudomonadota; Gammaproteobacteria; Enterobacterales; Enterobacteriaceae. The record is from RNAcentral.